RNAcentral lists this ribosomal RNA (497 nucleotides) under uncultured bacterium. Its description in RNAcentral is "bacterial SSU rRNA". It matches the Rfam family "Bacterial small subunit ribosomal RNA", at positions 29 to 519 of the family's 1533-position model. The record is from RNAcentral.
AACGAACGCUGGCGGCGCGCCUAAUACAUGCAAGUCGAGCGAGAAGACGUAGCAAUACGUUUGUAAAGCGGCGAACGGGUGAGGAAUACAUGGGUAACCUACCCUCGAGUGGGGAAUAACUAGCCGAAAGGUUAGCUAAUACCGCGUACGCUCCUUGGACUUCGGUUCAGGGAGGAAAGCGAUACCGUGGGUAUCGCGCUCUUGGAUGGGCUCAUGUCCUAUCAGCUUGUUGGUGAGGUAACGGCUCACCAAGGCUUCGACGGGUAGCUGGUCUGAGAGGACGAUCAGCCACACUGGCACUGCGACACGGGCCAGACUCCUACGGGAGGCAGCAGUAAGGAAUAUUGCGCAAUGGGCGAAAGCCUGACGCAGCGACGCCGCGUGGGGGAUGAAGGUCUUCGGAUUGUAAACCCCUUUCGGGAGGGAAGAUGGAACGAGCAAUCGUUCGGACGGUACCUCCAGAAGCAGCCACGGCUAACUUCGUGCCAGCCGCCGCA